AACGAACGCUGGCGGCAGGCCUAACACAUGCAAGUCGAGCGAGGACUUCGGUUAGCGGCGGACGGGUGAGUAACGCGUGGGAAUGUGCCCUUCUCUACGGAAUAGCCCUGGGAAACUGGGAGUAAUACCGUAUACGCCCUUUUGGGGAAAGAUUUAUCGGAGAAGGAUCAGCCCGCGUUGGAUUAGGUAGUUGGUGGGGUAAUGGCCUACCAAGCCGACGAUCCAUAGCUGGUUUGAGAGGAUGAUCAGCCACACUGGGACUGAGACACGGCCCAGACUCCUACGGGAGGCAGCAGUGGGGAAUCUUAGACAAUGGGGGCAACCCUGAUCUAGCCAUGCCGCGUGAGUGAUGAAGGCCUUAGGGUUGUAAAGCUCUUUCAGCUGGGAAGAUAAUGACGGUACCAGCAGAAGAAGCCCCGGCUAACUCCGUG
Molecule: ribosomal RNA, 431 nt
Filed under: uncultured bacterium
Lineage: Bacteria
Description: partial 16S ribosomal RNA
Rfam family: Bacterial small subunit ribosomal RNA
Source: RNAcentral